Molecule: ribosomal RNA, 778 nt
Filed under: uncultured organism
Description: bacterial SSU rRNA
Rfam family: Bacterial small subunit ribosomal RNA
Source: RNAcentral
CGCGUGCAGGAAGACGGCCCUAUGGGUUGUAAACUGCUUUUACAGAGGAAUAACCCUCCUUACGUGUAAGGAGCUGACGGUACUCUAUGAAUAACGAUCGGCUAACUCCGUGCCAGCAGCCACGGUAAUACGGAGGAUCCAAGCGUUAUCCGGAAUCAUUGGGUUUAAAGGGUCCGUAUGCGGGUCUAUAAGUCAGUGGUGAAAUGUCUGCAGCUUAACUGUAGAACUGCCAUUGAUACUAGAAUGAAACUCAAAGGAAUUGACGGGGGCCCGCACAAGCGGUGGAGCAUGUGGUUUAAUUCGAUGCAACGCGAAGAACCUUACCUACCCUUGACAUCCAGAGAAGUUGGCAGAGAUGCCUUCGUGCCUUCGGGAACUCUGAGACAGGUGCUGCAUGGCUGUCGUCAGCUCGUGUUGUGAAAUGUUGGGUUAAGUCCCGUAACGAGCGCAACCCUUGUCCUUAGUUGCCAGCACAUAAUGGUGGGGACUGUAGGGAGACUGCCGGUGUUAAACCGGAGGAAGGUGGGGAUGACGUCAGGUCCUCAUGGCCUUUAUGACCAGGGCUGCACACGUCCUACAAUGCGGUGUACAGAGGGAAGCAAACUCGCGAGAGCAAGCAAAUCCCAAAAAGCACCGCCCAGUUUGGAUUGCAGGCUGCAACUCGCCUGCAUGAAGCCGGAAUCGCUAGUAAUCGUGGGUCAGCAUACCACGGUGAAUAUGUUCCUGAGCCUUGUACACACCGCCCGUCAAGCCACGAAAGUGGGGGGCAUCCAGAAGU